RNAcentral lists this ribosomal RNA (423 nucleotides) under uncultured bacterium. RNAcentral describes it as "partial 16S ribosomal RNA". It matches the Rfam family "Bacterial small subunit ribosomal RNA", at positions 359 to 774 of the family's 1533-position model. The record is from RNAcentral.
GAAUAUUGGACAAUGGGCGAAAGCCUGAUCCAGCCAUGCCGCGUGUGUGAAGAAGGUCUUCGGAUUGUAAACAUCUUUAAGUUGGGAGGAAGGGCAGUAAGCGAAUACCUUGCUGUUUUGACGUUACCGACCGACUACGCACCGGCUACCUCUGUGCCAGCAGCCGCGGUACUACAUAGGGUGCAAGCGUGACUCGGAAUUACUGGGCGUAAAGCGCGCUUAGGUGGUUCGUUAAGUUGGAUGUGAAAUCCCCGGGCGCAACCUGGGAACUGCAUCCAAAACUGGCGAGCUAGAGUAGGGCAGAGGGUGGUGGAAUUUCCUGUGUAGCGGUGAAAUGCGUAGAUAUAGGAAGGAACACCAGUGGCGAAGGCGACCACCUGGGCUCAUACUGACACUGAGGUGCGAAAGCGUGGGGAGCAAACA